GGGGGGGGGGGGGGGGGUGGGUGGGGGAGGCAGGUCGAACGGGGGGGCGGUGCUGGUGGGGGGUGCUCGAGUGGCGAGCGGGUGAGUAACACGUGAGUGGCCUGCCCUUGACUUUGGGAUAACUUCAGGAAACUGGGGCUAAUACCGGAUAGGAGCUCCUGCCGCAUGGUGGGGGUUGGAAAGUUUCGGCGGUUGGGGAUGGACUCGCGGCUUAUCAGCUUGUUGGUGGGGUAGUGGCUUACCAAGGCUUUGACGGGUAGCCGGCCUGAGAGGGUGACCGGCCACAUUGGGACUGAGAUACGGCCCAGACUCCUACGGGAGGCAGCAGUGGGGAAUAUUGCACAAUGGGCGGAAGCCUGAUGCAGCAACGCCGCGUGCGGGAUGACGGCCUUCGGGUUGUAAACCGCUUUCGCCUGUGACGAAGCGUGAGUGACGGUAAUGGGUAAAGAAGCACCGGCUAACUACGUG
RNAcentral lists this ribosomal RNA (468 nucleotides) under uncultured bacterium. RNAcentral's name for it is "partial 16S ribosomal RNA". It matches the Rfam family "Bacterial small subunit ribosomal RNA", at positions 38 to 507 of the family's 1533-position model. The record is from RNAcentral.